UGGGGAAUAUUGCACAAUGGGCGCAAGCCUGAUGCAGCCAUGCCGCGUGUGUGAAGAAGGCCUUCGGGUUGUAAAGCACUUUCAGCGAGGAGGAAGGUGGUGAGCUUAAUACGCUCAUCAAUUGACGUUACUCGCAGAAGAAGCACCGGCUAACUCCGUGCCAGCAGCCGCGGUAAUACGGAGGGUGCAAGCGUUAAUCGGAAUUACUGGGCGUAAAGCGCACGCAGGCGGUUUGUUAAGUCAGAUGUGAAAAUCCCCGGGCUCAACCUGGGAACUGCAUUUGAAACUGGCAAGCUAGAGUCUCGUAGAGGGGGGUAGAAAUUCCAGGUGUAGCGGUGAAAUGCGUAGAGAUCUGGAGGAAUACCGGUGGCGAAGGCGGCCCCCUGGACGAAGACUGACGCUCAGGUGCGAAAAGCGUGGGGAGCAAAACAGGAUUAGAUACCCCUGGUAGUCCACGCUGUAAAACGAUGUCGAUUUUGGAGGUUGUGCCCUUGAGGCGUGGCUUCCGGAGCUAACGCGUU
This 521-nucleotide ribosomal RNA is filed under the name uncultured bacterium. RNAcentral's name for it is "partial 16S ribosomal RNA". It matches the Rfam family "Bacterial small subunit ribosomal RNA", at positions 355 to 861 of the family's 1533-position model. The record is from RNAcentral.